GACGAACGCUGGCGGCGUGCUUAACACAUGCAAGUCGAACGGAAAGGCCCUGCUUUUGUGGGGUGCUCGAGUGGCGAACGUGUGUGUCACACGUGAGUAAUCUGCCCUUGACUUUGGUAUACCUUCGGGAAACUGUGUCUUAUACCGGAUAGGACCUCCUUCUUCAUGGUGGUGGUUGGAAAGUUUCGGGGGGUGGGGAUGGACUCGCGGCUUAUCUGCUGGUUGGUGGGGUAGUGGCUUACCAAGGCUUUGACGGGUAGCCGGCCUGAGAGGGUGACCGGCCACAUGGGGACUGAGAUACGGCCCAGACUCCUACGGGAGGCAGAAGUGGGGAAUAUGGCACAAUGGGGGGAAGCCUGAGGCAGGAAGGCCGCGUGCGGGAGGACGGCCUUCGGGUGGUAAACCGCUUUCGCCUGGGACGAAGCGUGAGUGACGGUAAUGGGUAAAGAAGCACCGGCUAACUACGUG
RNAcentral lists this ribosomal RNA (468 nucleotides) under uncultured bacterium. RNAcentral's name for it is "partial 16S ribosomal RNA". It matches the Rfam family "Bacterial small subunit ribosomal RNA", at positions 28 to 507 of the family's 1533-position model. The record is from RNAcentral.